AACGAACGCUGGCGGCAUGCCUAACACAUGCAAGUCGAACGAGACCUUCGGGUCUAGUGGCGCACGGGUGCGUAACGCGUGGGAACCUGCCCUUAGGUUCGGAAUAACUCCCCGAAAGGGGUGCUAAUACCGGAUAAUGUCUUCGGACCAAAGAUUUAUCGCCUUUGGAUGGGCCCGCGUUGGAUUAGCUAGUUGGUAGGGUAAAAGCCUACCAAGGCGACGAUCCAUAACUGGUCUGAGAGGAUGAUCAGCCACACUGGGACUGAGACACGGCCCAGACUCCUACGGGAGGCAGCAGUGGGGAAUAUUGGACAAUGGGCGAAAGCCUGAUCCAGCAAUGCCGCGUGAGUGAUGAAGGCCUUAGGGUUGUAAAGCUCUUUUAACCGGGAUGAUAAUGACAGUACCGGGAGAAUAAGCUCCGGCUAACUCCGUG
RNAcentral lists this ribosomal RNA (433 nucleotides) under uncultured bacterium. Its description in RNAcentral is "partial 16S ribosomal RNA". It matches the Rfam family "Bacterial small subunit ribosomal RNA", at positions 29 to 507 of the family's 1533-position model. The record is from RNAcentral.